RNAcentral lists this ribosomal RNA (492 nucleotides) under uncultured bacterium. RNAcentral's name for it is "partial 16S ribosomal RNA". It matches the Rfam family "Bacterial small subunit ribosomal RNA", at positions 29 to 507 of the family's 1533-position model. The record is from RNAcentral.
AGUGAACGCUGGCGGUAGGCCUAACACAUGCAAGUCGAACGGCAGCACAGUAAGAGCUUGCUCUUACGGGUGGCGAGUGGCGGACGGGAGAGGAAUACAUCGGAAUCUACUUUUUCGUGGGGGAUAACGUAGGGAAACUUAAGCUAAUACCGCAUACGACCUACGGGUGAAAGCAGGGGAUCGUCGGACCUUGCGCGAAUGAAUGAGCCGAUGUCGGAUUAGCUAGUUGGCGGGGUAAAGGCCCACCAAGGCGACGAUCCGUAGCUGGUCUGAGAGGAUGUUCAGCCACACUGGAACUGAGACACGGUCCAGACUCCUACGGGAGGCAGCAGUGGGGAAUAUUGGACAGUGGGCGCAAGCCUGCUCCAUCCGUACCGCGUGUGUGAAGAAGGCCUUCGGGUUGUAAAGCCCUUUUGUUGGGAAAGAAAAGCAGCAGGUUAAUACCCCGCUGUUCUGACGGUACCCAAAGAAUAAGCACCGGCUAACUUCGUG